This 472-nucleotide ribosomal RNA is filed under the name uncultured bacterium. Its description in RNAcentral is "partial 16S ribosomal RNA". It matches the Rfam family "Bacterial small subunit ribosomal RNA", at positions 28 to 507 of the family's 1533-position model. The record is from RNAcentral.
GACGAACGCUGGCGGCGUGCUUAACACAUGCAAGUCGAACGCUGAAGCUUGGUGCUUGCACUGGGUGGAUGAGUGGCGAACGGGUGAGUAAUACGUGAGUAACCUGCCCUUGACUCUGGGAUAAGCCUGGGAAACUGGGUCUAAUACUGGAUACGACAUGUCACCGCAUGGUGGUGUGUGGAAAGGGUUUUACUGGUUUUGGAUGGGCUCACGGCCUAUCAGCUUGUUGGUGGGGUAAUGGCUCACCAAGGCGACGACGGGUAGCCGGCCUGAGAGGGUGGCCGGCCACACUGGGACUGAGACACGGCCCAGACUCCUACGGGAGGCAGCAGUGGGGAAUAUUGCACAAUGGGCGGAAGCCUGAUGCAGCGACGCCGCGUGAGGGAUGACGGCCUUCGGGUUGUAAACCUCUUUCAGCACGGAAGAAGCGAAAGUGACGGUACGUGCAGAAGAAGCGCCGGCUAACUACGUG